AUUGAACGCUGGCGGCAGGCCUAACACAUGCAAGUCGAGCGAGCGGCGGACGGGUGAGUCAUGUCUGGGUAACUGCCUGAUGGGGGGGGAUUACUACUGGAAACGGUAGCUAAUACCGCAUACCAUCAGAUGUGCCCAGAUGGGAUUAGCUAGUAGGUGGGGUAACGGCCCACCGAGGCAACGAUCCCUAGCUGGUCUGUGAGGAUGACCAGCCACACUGGAACUGAGACACGGUCCAGACUCCUACGGGAGGCAGCAGUGGGGAAUAUUGCACAAUGGGCGAAAGCCUGAUGCAGCCAUGCCGCGUGUGUGAAGAAGGCCUUCGGGUUGUAAAGCACUUUCAGCUGGGAGGCGUUACCCGCAGAAGAAGCACCGGCUAACUCCGUGCCAGCAGCCGCGGUAAUUC
This 406-nucleotide ribosomal RNA is filed under the name uncultured bacterium. RNAcentral's name for it is "partial 16S ribosomal RNA". It matches the Rfam family "Bacterial small subunit ribosomal RNA", at positions 30 to 526 of the family's 1533-position model. The record is from RNAcentral.